ACUCCUACGGGAGGCAGCAGUGGGAAUAUUGCACAAUGGGGAAGCCCAUCGAUGCAGCCAUGCCGCGUGUGUGAAGAAGGCCUUCGGGUUGUAAAGCACUUUCAGUCGUGAGGAAGGUAGUGUAGUUAAUAGCUGUAUUAUUUGACGUUAGCGACAGAAGAAGCACCGGCUAACUCCGUGCCAGCAGCCGCGGUAAUACGGAGGGUGCGAGCGUUAAUCGGAAUUACUGGGCGUAAAGCGCAUGCAGGUGGUUUGUUAAGUCAGAUGUGAAAGCCCGGGCUCAAGCCUCGGAAUUGCAUUUGAAACUGGCAGACUAGAGUACUGUAGAGGGGUGAGAAUUGUCAGGUGUAGCGGUGAAAUGCGUAGAGAUCUGAAGGAAU
This 380-nucleotide ribosomal RNA is filed under the name uncultured bacterium. RNAcentral describes it as "bacterial SSU rRNA". It matches the Rfam family "Bacterial small subunit ribosomal RNA", at positions 335 to 707 of the family's 1533-position model. The record is from RNAcentral.